RNAcentral lists this small nuclear RNA (235 nucleotides) under Mesocricetus auratus (golden hamster). Its description in RNAcentral is "7SK RNA". It matches the Rfam family "7SK RNA", at positions 1 to 259 of the family's 331-position model. Rfam says of the family: 7SK was discovered as an abundant small nuclear RNA in the mid-70s but a possible function has only recently been suggested. Lineage: Eukaryota; Metazoa; Chordata; Mammalia; Rodentia; Cricetidae. The record is from Rfam by way of RNAcentral.
GGGUGUGAGAACAAUCUGGCUUUACGUGUCAUCCCAUUAAUAGCCAGAGUGAUUUAGUGGAUCUGGCCGGCGAGGCCGGUCUCUCCCUGCUUCUUCACUGCCCACGUGUGUUCAUCAUGUUGAAGAGGGUCUUUCCUCUAACAGAGGAGGACUGCUCUUGAUCAGGGAUAUCCCAGUAGCUAUCCGGAUGCCCUUAGAUCUCCAGGCCUGCUCUACAAUUCUAGGUCCAAUCCCU